UCCCUGGAGGAAUAGUGGUUAGGCCGCAUCACUCUCACUGCAGUGGCCCAGGUUCGAUUCCCAGCCAGGGAA
Pangasianodon gigas (Mekong giant catfish) is the source of this 72-nucleotide non-coding RNA. The record is from the annotation of a GenBank genome assembly. Lineage: Eukaryota; Metazoa; Chordata; Actinopteri; Siluriformes; Pangasiidae.